AUGGCGACCAUCACCACGCAGCUCCGCUCCGCGCUCCUCUCCCCGGCCGCCUCGUCGUCGGCCUCCCUCGACCCGGACUUCGACAAGAAGGCCUUCCGCCACAACCUCACCCGCAGCGACAACUACAACCGCAAGGGCUUCGGCCACAAGAAGGAGACCCUCGAGCUCAUGAGCCAGGAGUACACCAGCGAUGUAAUAAAGACGCUCAAGGACAACGGGAACGAGUACACCUGGGGGCCGGUGACCGUGAAGCUGGCGGAGGCCUACGGCUUCUGCUGGGGCGUCGAGCGCGCCGUGCAGAUCGCCUACGAGGCGCGCAAGCAGUUCCCCGAGGAGCGCAUCUGGAUCACCAACGAGAUCAUCCACAACCCCACGGUCAACAAGAAAUUGGAGGACAUGGGUGUCAAAGAUAUUCCUGUUAAUGCUGGUAUUAAGGAUUUUGAUGUUAUUGAACAAGGUGAUGUUGUCGUCUUGCCUGCAUUUGGAGCUGCUGUGGAUGAGAUGUACACACUAAAUGAGAAGAACGUGCAAAUUGUUGAUACAACAUGCCCUUGGGUUUCAAAGGUGUGGAACAUGGUUGAGAAGCAUAAGAAGGGCGACUAUACUUCUAUUAUUCACGGAAAAUAUGCCCAUGAAGAGACUGUUGCCACUGCUUCUUUUGCAGGGAAGUACAUUAUUGUGAAGAAUAUGGCCGAGGCAACAUAUGUAUGUGACUAUAUACUUGGUGGCCAACUUGAUGGAUCUAGCUCAACUAGAGAGGAGUUCCUUGAGAAAUUCAAAAAGGCUGUUUCUCCAGGAUUCGAUCCUGAUGUUGACUUGGAAAAGGCGGGCAUUGCAAAUCAAACAACAAUGCUUAAAGGAGAAACUGAAGAAAUUGGAAAACUUGUUGAGAAGACUAUGAUGCGUAAGUAUGGAGUCGAGAAUGCCAAUGAACACUUUGUUGCCUUCAACACUAUUUGUGAUGCCACACAGGAAAGACAAGAUGCGAUGUAUCACCUAGUGAAGGAAAAGGUUGACCUUAUUCUGGUUAUUGGAGGGUGGAACUCCAGUAAUACCUCUCAUCUGCAAGAAAUUGGAGAACUCAGUGGAAUUCCGUCCUACUGGAUUGACAGUGAACAAAGGAUUGGACCAGGAAACAGGAUUAGCUACAAGCUAAAUCACGGUGAACUUAUUGAGGCCGAAAACUGGCUACCAAAAGGGCCUAUCACAAUUGGAGUUACUUCUGGUGCCUCAACUCCAGACAAGGUUGUCGAGGAUACGCUACACAAGGUGUUUGACAUCAAGCGUCAAGAAGUUUUGCAGGUUGCAUAG
This 1311-nucleotide ribosomal RNA is filed under the name Triticum aestivum (bread wheat). Its description in RNAcentral is "partial small subunit ribosomal RNA". The record is from RNAcentral. Lineage: Eukaryota; Viridiplantae; Streptophyta; Magnoliopsida; Poales; Poaceae.